RNAcentral lists this unclassified non-coding RNA (461 nucleotides) under Hevea brasiliensis (rubber tree). Lineage: Eukaryota; Viridiplantae; Streptophyta; Magnoliopsida; Malpighiales; Euphorbiaceae. The record is from RNAcentral.
GAGAAGACAGCCCAAGGCAGAAGAAGCAAGGGGAAAGAGAGAGCAUAGUUGAGCAGUGGUCGCAAAAGCAAUCAUCAUGAACUUGUUCCGGCUAGCUGGGGACAUGACGCACCUUCUCAGUAUAGUGGUCCUUCUUCUCAAGAUCCGCAAAAUGAAAUCUUGUGCUGGAAUUUCACUGAAGACUCAAGAACUGUAUGCUAUAGUUUUUCUCACUCGGUACCUCGAUUUGUUUGCCAAGUAUUACUCUAUAUACAAUGCUGCAAUGAAGCUAAUAUUCAUUGGGACUUCAGCUGCAAUUGUCUGGUACAUGCGAUACCAUAAAGUUGUGAAACAAACCUAUAGCAAGGAUGAAGAUACUUUUAGACAUUACAUUCUGAUACUCCUGUGCUUUGUGCUAGCCCUUUUGAUUCAUCGUUCCUUUGAUGUGAUUGAGGUUUUGUGGGCAUUUUCAAUUUAUCUUG